This 70-nucleotide transfer RNA is filed under the name Lepidapion squamigerum. RNAcentral's name for it is "tRNA-Lys". The record is from RNAcentral. Lineage: Eukaryota; Metazoa; Arthropoda; Insecta; Coleoptera; Brentidae.
CAUUAGAUGGCUGAAAGCAAGCACUGGUCUCUUAAACCAUUUUAUAGUAAUUUACGCCUACUUCUAAUGA